Molecule: long non-coding RNA, 2623 nt
Filed under: Homo sapiens (human)
Lineage: Eukaryota; Metazoa; Chordata; Mammalia; Primates; Hominidae
Description: novel transcript
Source: RNAcentral
CAAAGCCCAGGUCUUGACAUAGAUACAGAUAACAUACACGCCCAGAUGAUGUCACAAUCAGCUGUAUCUAAACAGAGCAGAGCUCAGGUGACAUCACAGAACAGGCAGAGGCAGUUCAGGGGUAUUCUGGUUGCCUUACCCAGCUCUGAAGUCUGUCAGCCUCUUCAGAUGUCACUUGCCAUGUGGUAAGGAAGUGUAGUCAGCAGCUGGUGCAGUGGGAAGAAGAGAAAGGAAGUUCCCCAAGACAAAAACAUCUCGGCAGACCGUGAUCAUGGGCUACAUUCUCCGUACCAGCUUCAUAGCUCCAGUGAGAAAAUAAAUUCCUGCAUCCAGGAGAUGUGGAGUAAGAGAUACAGCUGCCCUUGACCAUAUUUCUUACUUCCGAGAAGAUCGUAGCAGUAAUUCAGUACAGUCUUCAGGGAACACCAAGGCCUGUUUGAUUUUCCAAGUAUCAACAAGUGGAGUUGACAAGAGUGACAAGUGGUCAGAGCAAAGCAUUUCAUGAUGACUGUAACGUGCCUGUGUCAGCAGCGACUGCUUACAGUGAGAUUCACAUGACCAUCGUUUAUGACAUAGGAAGAAUAAAAGGAGAGAGAGAGAGAAAGAUAGGUAGUUGAUCAAAAUGAAGAAUUGGAUUUGGAAAGCAACUUCGAAUAGUCUCUGCUUAUAUUUCUGAGAUUAAGGCAAACAGUCUCAAGAAUCUCAUCCAGGAUACCUCAUCACAGGCUGGAGUGCAGUGUCAUGAGCUUGGCUCACUACAGCCUCCAUCUUCUGUGCUUAAGGAUCCUUCCCUCUCAACCUCCAAGGUAGCUGAGACUACAGGCAACAUUCGAAACCCAGGUGCCACUCCUUCAGGAAGGUACCAUCAAGCUCCAAGGACUCAUCCUCUUUCUCCUUCCCCACUACCUAGUCAUUAGAGCGUCAGCAUCCACUUCCUGAAAGGAAGAUGCCUGUUUUUCACAUAUCCCAGAAAGCCUCAUUUUAGGACAGCAUUUAGCAGAGUGUAUUCAGGAUCCCACUAACCUUUUCGGAAGACAUGACUUCCAGAUGAUAUAAGGCAAGAAUAAGAAAUUUCAGUGACAGGGAACAGAAAUCAUAUUUCUGCAUUCAGGAUCAUGUUUUCUUGGCUCCAUCAGGAACUGUGCAGGACUGUGCACUCUGUUGAUACUCACAUGGUGGAAUUAUAUUGCCCUUGGCCAACCCUAAAGCCAUCAAGAUAGCAGGUUUGGAAUAAUUCACUGUCGAAGUCUUCUUGAGCUGAGCAGUCAUGUGAGCUUGGAAGAUGAUCCCUCUCCAGCUGAUCCUUCAGCUCAGGCCAUCAUCUACAUCUGGAUUCCUGACCCGGAGAAACUAUGAGUAAUGUGUGCUGCUUUUGAGCCACUAAGCUACAUGAAUUAAUGAAGGAUCAUUAUUAAGUUUUUAAUGGGUCAAGAGAAAGUUACCACUGAGGUCUUCUCUACCUGGGCAACAAUUGACUCCUAACAACCACUAUAAGCUUGGAAGAUGAUCCCUCCCCAGCUGAUCCUUCAGGAAUUUCCACUGAAGUACCUCUGGUUGAAAAGGAGAACAGAGACUUUUUUCACAGCCACAGGACAAAAUUUGUUCAGAAUUAAAUGCUGAAAAAGGAGAACCUGACACCAUUAUUCAUAAUUUCACUGUAUAUGAAGAGCAACCCUAUACUCCAUACAAACAACAUAGACUGUGGAAUUAUGUUGUGAAAUGUAAAGAGAAGAUGAUUCCCAAAUUUAAAGGAAACUGGAGGUGUUCUGGAGAAACAAAUAGAGGCUGGAGUGCCGUGGCACAAUUAUGGUUCACCAGCCUCAACCUCCUGGGAUCAAGCAAUCGUCUCACCUCAGCCUCCUGAGUAGCUGGACUGCAGAUGUAAGUGGGAUCUGUGGAUCUGAAAAUUCACAGUGGCCAGCUCACCACCACCUGAUGAAAGAUACACCACAGGGUGAGAGCAUCCUAACAGCAAACUGCAAAUGAGAUACUUUGACGAAGGUAAUUGGGACUCCCAUCAAGUCUCCACACAGCUAGCAGCCACGUGGGGCACUUCUCCAGGUUCACAGCUGGAGAGCCAUUGUCUCGGGAUUAAUUGUACCUUGAGCAUCACCUAUAUCUGAUUUAGAUGAUAUUUACAUGCGACUUUCGACUUACACUUGAAAGUUGAUGCUGGAAUGAGUUAAGACAUUUUGGAGUUACUAAGAUGGAAUGGACAUAUUCUUGUGGGUGAGAACGACAUGAAUUCUCAUGUCAUGGCAAGGGUGGAGUGCUAUGGUUUGAAUAAUGGUGUCCCUUCUAAAAUUAGUGUGGAAAUUUAAUGCCCAAUGCAACAGUAUUAAGAGGUUUGGCAAUUGCGUGGUGACUAAGCCAUGAGGGCUCUGCUCUAAUGCAUGAGAUUAACAUCUCUAUAAAAGUGUAUUAAUUUAAAGGGAGUACUUUCUUGCCCUUCUGCCCCAUUCACCAUGUGAGGACAUAGUCAUGGCUCCUCCACAGGAUGCAGCAACAAGACAUCAUCUUGGAAACAGACAGCAGCCCCGUUUAGACCUCCUUCUGCUGCUUUGAUCUUGGACCUCUCAUCCUCCAGAAACACGACAAAUAAGUUUAUGUUCUUUAUAAGUUA